Molecule: long non-coding RNA, 419 nt
Filed under: Ananas comosus (pineapple)
Lineage: Eukaryota; Viridiplantae; Streptophyta; Magnoliopsida; Poales; Bromeliaceae
Description: long non-coding RNA (ACOM_LNC030798)
Source: RNAcentral
GUGGUAGCUUAUUUUUAAGAAAAAGAUUUUCGUGUGGGAAACGGUUUUAAAAAGAUGUAAGGACUGAGAUUUUGAUAGUGCAAUUAGACUCUCUGUUGAUGAUGUUUAUAUGUGUAAUUUAAUUACAUAAGCAUUCGUCAAGUUUCAGGAGAAAAUGAGUUAGAACGGAGAAGUUACGCGAUUAUUAGUUUUUACUUAAGUGAAUAGUAACUCCGAUUUUCCGGAGAAGCCACGGAGUAGAGUUGGCUUUCGGCGCGUAUCGGACUCCGUUCAUAACGGUCCAAUAGCUCGUUUCGAUCGGAUCAGCUAUUCUGGAACCAAUGGCACUGACGGAUUUUAGAUUCGAUGAACGAUUUUCGAGAAAAAGGGAUUUUAUCGAAAAGAGGGUUUUCGCUCUUUGCUGUUCUUGCAUAAUGAGA